This 497-nucleotide ribosomal RNA is filed under the name uncultured bacterium. RNAcentral describes it as "partial 16S ribosomal RNA". It matches the Rfam family "Bacterial small subunit ribosomal RNA", at positions 28 to 507 of the family's 1533-position model. The record is from RNAcentral.
GAUGAACGCUGGCGGAGUGGCAAAUACAUGCAAGUCGAGCGAACGGACGAGAAGCUUGCUUCUCUGAUGUUAGCGGCGGACGGGUGAGUAACACGUGGAUAACCUACCUAUAAGACUGGGAUAACUUCGGGAAACCGUAGCUAAUACCGGAUAAUAUUUUGAACCGCAUGGUUCAAAAGUGAAAGACGGUCUUGCUGUCACUUAUAGAUGGAUCCGCGCUGCAUUAGCUAGUUGGUAAGGUAACGGCUUACCAAGGGAACGAUGCAUAGCCGACCUGAGAGAGUGGUCGGCCGCACUGGAGCUGGGACGCGGUCCAGGCUACUGCGAGAGGCAGCAGUAUGGAAUGGUCGGCAAUAGGCGAAAGCCUGGCGGAGCGACGCCGCGUGAGUGGUGGAGAUCUUCGGAUCGGAAUGCUCUGUUAUGAGGGAAGAACAGAUGUGUAAGUAACUGUGCAGAGCUUGACGGUACCGAGUCAGGGAGCCACGGCUAACUACGUG